This is a non-coding RNA of Sesamum indicum (sesame), 2625 nucleotides long. NCBI's taxonomy places the organism in Eukaryota, Viridiplantae, Streptophyta, Magnoliopsida, Lamiales, Pedaliaceae. The record is from RefSeq and is a predicted model, not a curated record.
UGAUGAGCUCCAUUUGAUUGGGGGUCAAGGUGGCCCAAUCUUGGAAAUCAUUGUCUCCAGGAUGCGGUACAUUGCUAGUCAGCUGGAGAACAAAAUCCGCAUUGUCGCACUGUCAACUUCUCUUGCGAAUGCCAAGGAUUUGGGGGAAUGGAUUGGUGCCACAUCUCAUGGUCUUUUCAAUUUUCCUCCUGGCGUUAGGCCGGUGCCUCUGGAAAUUCACAUUCAGGGUAUUGACAUUGCUAAUUUUGAAGCCAGGAUGCAAGCUAUGACAAAACCUACUUACACUGCAAUUGUGCAGCAUGCUAAGAAUGGAAAACCUGCAAUUGUGUUUGUUCCCACCAGAAAGCAUGCCCGUCUCACUGCUGUGGAUCUGAUGACAUAUUCGAGUGUGGACAGUGAGCAAAAACCCUUGUUCCUAUUAAAGUCUGCAGAAGAGCUGGAGCCAUUUGUUGCCAACAUCAAGGAACCUAUGUUGAAGGAGACAAUUCAAUUUGGUGUCGGUUAUUUGCAUGAGGGUCUAAGCAGUACAGAUCAGGAUAUAGUGAAAACACUUUUUGAAACAGGGUGGAUUCAAGUCUGUGUAAUGAGCAGCUCGAUGUGUUGGGGAGUCCCACUGUCUGCGCAUCUGGUAGUGGUUAUGGGUACACAGUAUUAUGAUGGCAGGGAAAAUGCUCACACUGAUUAUCCUGUCACUGAUUUGUUGCAGAUGAUGGGUCAUGCCAGUCGACCUCUUGUAGACAACUCUGGAAAAUGUGUCAUCCUUUGUCAUGCACCACGUAAAGAAUAUUAUAAGAAGUUUCUGUAUGAAGCCUUCCCAGUGGAAAGCCAUUUACAUCAUUAUCUGCAUGAUAAUCUAAAUGCGGAGGUGGUUGUGGGAGUCAUACAAAACAAGCAGGAUGCAGUAGACUACCUAACUUGGACAUUUAUGUACAGAAGACUCACGCAGAAUCCGAACUAUUAUAAUCUUCAGGGUGUCAGUCACAGGCAUCUUUCUGAUCAUCUCUCGGAGCUCGUGGAGAACACUAUCAGUGAUCUGGAAGCAAGUAAAUGUGUGGCUAUUGAGGAUGAAUUUUUGUUGUCACCUCUGAAUCUUGGCAUGAUUGCCUCAUAUUAUUACAUCAGUUACACCACAAUCGAGCGUUUUAGUUCUUCUCUGACUUCUAAAACAAAGUUGAAGGGUCUUUUGGAAAUUUUGGCCUCAGCUUCAGAGUAUGAACAGCUUCCAAUAAGACCUGGUGAAGACGAGUUGAUACGUAGGUUAAUCAAUCACCAGCGCUUCUCCUUUGAGAACCCAAAGUACACGGAUCCAAACGUGAAGGCAAAUGCUCUAUUACAAGCUCAUUUCUCUAGGCAAACGAUAGGUGGAAACUUGGCUUCUGACCAACAAGAGGUGCUAAUUUAUGCAAGCAGACUGCUUCAGGCCAUGGUUGAUGUUAUUUCAAGCAAUGGAUGGCUUAACCUGGCCCUCCUUGCCAUGGAAGUGAGUCAGAUGGUAACCCAAGGAAUGUGGGAACGCGACUCUAUGCUCCUCCAACUGCCUCACUUCACAAAGGAAUUGGCCAAGAGGUGCCAGGAAAAUCCUGGGAAAAGUAUUGAGACAGUCUUUGAUCUGGUGGAGAUGGAGGAUGAUGAAAGGCGAGACCUCCUGCAAAUGUCAGACUCACAGUUGAUGGAUAUUGCUCGAUUUUGUAAUCGUUUUCCAAACAUUGAUUUAACUUAUGAGGUUCUGGAUAGUGAUAAUGUGGGAGCUGGAGAAGAUGUUAGUGUGCAUGUGAGUCUUGAACGAGAUCUUGAAGGAAGGAUAGAAGUUGGACCUGUGGAUGCACCUAGAUAUCCUAAAUCAAAAGAAGAAGGGUGGUGGCUGGUGGUUGGUGAUACUAAAACUAAUCAAUUGCUUGCUAUCAAAAGAGUUGCUCUUCAGAGGAAGUCCAGGGUGAAACUUGACUUCACUGCCCCUGCAGAACCUGGAAAGAAGACAUACACACUGUAUUUCAUGUGUGAUUCUUAUCUAGGGUGUGAUCAGGAGUAUAGCUUCACUGUGGAUGUGAAGGAGGCAGCAAAUAUGGAAGAGGAUAGUUGAAGACGAUGAGCGAUGCCAAGCAAAACUGUGAUGACUGGAUCUUCAUUACGUUAAAUCAUUUUACUAGAGAAGCCUAUAUACUCAUGUUGAUCGAGUGGAAUCAAUUGUUUGAUUGUGCGGCAUCAAUUGCCAAAAGGCUUGAGAAUGGACACCCUUUCUAGGGAGAUAAAGCAGUCUUGUCCAAGAAAAUGCUUGAAAGAUCUUCAACCUCAGUGAUUUUUGAGGCAUAAAUUUAAGACUUUGGUUUGCUGAGCUACCUGCGAAGAAUGCAAGUGCUAAUAGAGAUAGUGGUGUUGGGCCGAUGAGAUGUGUACAACACCUACUUGGCCACUGCUGUUUCUCUUGUAAUAAUGGGGUCAUUUUGGAUGAAUGUAGGCGUAAAUGUGACGUAUGUUGUAGACUGGUAUCAUCCUACUAGUUUUCUAAUAGCUCUUUAUUUCUGGUUACAUUGACGUUCAAUAGCUCGUAACUUGCUCUUGUUGUAUUGAGAAUCUGGGAUUUGAAGAAUUUGUUUCUGCAAUUGCAAUCUAAUUAACUUUUAUGUC